ACAAGUAGUCAGAGCCCGUUAAUGGGUGAUGGCGUGCCUUUUGUAGAAUGAACCGGCGAGUUACGAUUUGAUGCAAGGUUAAGCAGUAAAUGUGGAGCCGUAGCGAAAGCGAGUCUGAAUAGGGCGUUUAGUAUUUGGUCGUAGACCCGAAACCAGGUGAUCUACCCUUGGUCAGGUUGAAGUUCAGGUAACACUGAAUGGAGGACCGAACCGACUUACGUUGAAAAGUGAGCGGAUGAACUGAGGGUAGCGGAGAAAUUCCAAUCGAACCUGGAGAUAGCUGGUUCUCUCCGAAAUAGCUUUAGGGCUAGCCUCAAGUGAUGAUUAUUGGAGGUAGAGCACUGUUUGGACGAGGGGCCCCUCUCGGGUUACCGAAUUCAGACAAACUCCGAAUGCCAAUUAAUUUAACUUGGGAGUCAGAACAUGGGUGAUAAGGUCCGUGUUCGAAAGGGAAACAGCCCAGACCACCAGCUAAGGUCCCAAAAUAUAUGUUAAGUGGAAAAGGAUGUGGCGUUGCCCAGACAACUAGGAUGUUGGCUUAGAAGCAGCCAUCAUUUAAAGAGUGCGUAAUAGCUCACUAGUCGAGUGACACUGCGCCGAAAAUGUACCGGGGCUAAACAUAUUACCGAAGCUGUGGAUUGUCCUUUGGACAAUGGUAGGAGAGCGUUCUAAGGGCGUUGAAGCAUGAUCGUAAG
RNAcentral lists this ribosomal RNA (695 nucleotides) under Staphylococcus aureus. RNAcentral describes it as "partial 23S ribosomal RNA". It matches the Rfam family "Bacterial large subunit ribosomal RNA", at positions 566 to 1267 of the family's 2925-position model. The record is from RNAcentral. Lineage: Bacteria; Bacillati; Bacillota; Bacilli; Caryophanales; Staphylococcaceae.